Molecule: ribosomal RNA, 253 nt
Filed under: uncultured bacterium
Lineage: Bacteria
Description: partial 16S ribosomal RNA
Rfam family: Bacterial small subunit ribosomal RNA
Source: RNAcentral
UACGAAGGGGGCUAGCGUUGCUCGGAAUCACUGGGCGUAAAGCGCACGUAGGCGGAUUGCUAAGUCAGGGGUGAAAUCCUGGAGCUCAACUCCAGAACUGCCUUCGAUACUGGAAGACCUGAGUCCGGGAGAGGUGAGUGGAACUGCGAGUGUAGAGGUGAAAUUCGUAGAUAUUCGCAAGAACACCAGUGGCGAAGGCGGCUCACUGGCCCGGUACUGACGCUGAGGUGCGAAAGCGUGGGGAGCAAACGGG